AUGCUCACUUCAGCAGCACAUGUACUAAAACGAACAAUGCAGAGAAGAUUACCGUGGCCCCUGUGCAAGGAUGGCAUGCAAAUUCGUGAACCAUUCGGUAUUUUA
RNAcentral lists this small nuclear RNA (105 nucleotides) under Chinchilla lanigera (long-tailed chinchilla). The record is from RNAcentral. Lineage: Eukaryota; Metazoa; Chordata; Mammalia; Rodentia; Chinchillidae.